This 201-nucleotide long non-coding RNA is filed under the name Phaseolus vulgaris (common bean). RNAcentral describes it as "long non-coding RNA (PVUL_LNC000664)". The record is from RNAcentral. Lineage: Eukaryota; Viridiplantae; Streptophyta; Magnoliopsida; Fabales; Fabaceae.
GAGCCACUGCUCGACAGGUUUUGGCUUGGAUUCUCGGGCGAUCACCGCCCUGGCGAUUCCCUGCUCCCUCGCUUCCUCAGGGCGAUUCCGCGCCUCUUCCUCCUCCAGACCAGCAUUCCUCUCGCCCAGCUCAGCGUCCACCAUCUCCACGUCUCUUCCGGCGGCCUGCUCUGUCACCGUCGAUCUGGGCUUCACACCGGG